UUGUGCAAAGGGUCACCUGUACAUAUCUACUUAGUACCAAGAGCAAUCCUCAGGGUUCUUCCCUCCCAGAUGAGUUGUUCUUACAAAGAAGAUUCAUCUGGAAAGCCCUCAUUCAGUCACCUGUAAGAGCUGAAUGUAGACAAUGACUAAAUGUGGAUUUUUUUAAUACAUUUUCAAAAGAUCCCCUUUAUAGUCUCCGAUUUUGAGAUGCCUACCAUCCUAUGAGAUAAAUAGAGAAGGUACAAUGUGGCUUUCUGUGUGUUCUGUUUUUAUUUUAGUUACCUGUAUUACCUGGGCUGAUGUAGAAGACAAUUGAAUUGCCAAUUGAAUUGGCAAAAAGAGUAUUAACUUUGAAUUCAGAACACAGUCUGAAGCCAUGUGUUACAGAAAUAAGUGUAAUACUAAGUUUGGCAAAUAAAAUCACUUAGCAUGGGGAUUCCUGGGUGGCUCAGUUGGUUAAGCAGCUGCCUUCGGCUCAGGUCAUGAUCCCAGCGUCCUGGGAUGGAGUCCCACGUCGGGCUCCUUGCUCCGCAGGGAGCCUGCUUCUCGCUCUGACUCUGCCUGCCACUCUGUCUGCCUGUGCUCGCUCUCAUUCUCUCUCUCUCUCUCUGACAAAUAAAUAAAUAAAAUCUUUUUUAAAAAAUCACUUAGCAUAUUCUGCAGGAGCUUAUUUAAAGAAAUCCAUAAUUGGGGCACUUGGCUGGCUCAGUCAGAAGUUAAAGCAUAUGACUCUUGAUCUCAGGGUCAUGAGUUUGAGCCUCAUGUUGAGAAGAGAUCGCUUUUUUUUUAAAUCCAUAAUUAUCUUUUGUGCAUAUUUGGAUCAUCAGAAUGGUAUAGCAGGGACAUGGGGAUGGAAUUCUGAAAGUGUGGAUAGCACUGUGGGUGUGAGGAGUACAACAUAAAAAGUUGAAGCUAUAGAAAGGGCGAAGUAUUACACUUUCUGGACUGAAAUCUUACCAUGUAGGCAUUGGAAGUACUUCAAGCAAGGACUUGUGAAAGCUCACUCUGGCUCCUACAUGGACGGCUAGAUUUGUGGGCGUCAAGAAGAGAAGACUGAUGCGGUUGUCUCAGAGAUGGGGAGACCCUGAAUGAGGAGGGUGAUGGGGGCUGGAAGAUCAGAGAGGCGGUGGAUGUAUUUAGGAAAUAAAAAGAGCAGGACUUGGGGUGCCUGGGUGGCUCAGUGGGUUGAGCCGCUGCCUUCGGCUUGGGUCAUGAUCUCAGGGUCCUGGGAUCGAGUCCCACGUCGGGCUCUCUGCUCAGCGGGGAGCCUGCUUCCCUCUCUCCCUCUCUCUCUGCCUGCCUCUCCAUCUACUUGUGUUUUCUCUCUGUCAAAUAAAUAAAUAAAAUCUAAAAAAAAAAAAAAAAAAAAAAAAACGCAGGACUUGACUGUUGACUGAAUGAGGUCACGGAAGACGAGAGGCAUCAAGGACAGCUAUUCCGCUUCUCUGCUCCUGCCCACUAGGGUUAAUCACGUGGAGGUGAGGCUCUCUGGGAUGUUCGGGGAUGUCCAGACGGUGGGAGUAUGACACCUUCCGUGGGAGGCUUUGGGCUGAGGCCACAGUUGGGACUCCUCAGCAUGUCAGCUGUUGAGUGAGCAGCACAGAGCCGAAGCAAGGACCUUGGAGACUUAGAAACGUUUAAGAUGCAGCAGGAGGACAGUGAGUUUGUGGAGGAGACAGAAGAAAUGCUUAGAGAAGGCUGGGAAGAAUCCAGGAACCAGCAGUUAAGAGAGUUUCAAGCAGGACAAAGCAGCACGUGAAAUGCAGCGCGAAAAGCUACUGCUCCUGCCUUUCGGAAUGUAAAGGGUGCCCUUGAGGGAGAGUAGUUUCAGAACGAACGAGAGCAAAGCCAGUCACAGUGAGAAAUGCGUGAGUGCGAAUGAGAAGCGAAUGGGACUCUGUCGGGGAGUGAGGCCAGGCAGGAAAGGCCGGCAGCGGACGGAAAUGCUGAGCAGGGAAGCCGGGUGACGGCGGCCCGCCACGCCGCAUUUAAGAGUUCGGUUGGGCUUGAACUAGGUAUGAAACACUCGGGUUUGUGGGUCAGAAGUACCCCUCACUGGCUACACCGGGGGGAACCGUGAUGAUGCCCAAACGCACGCUCGGGUCAUUUCUGUCCAGCAGGGCCCGAGCGCAGCGGAGCAGGGCGUCCCCGCGCCAGGACCGGCAGCUGGGGGAGGGGCGCGUCGCUGCGCUAGCGGGAGAGACCAGGGAAGGACCACGGUUCGGAGGCCUCCGCGAAGUGGAAAAGCAAGUGUAACGGCAGCGGCCGGCAUGGAAUAAAGGGGCGACAAGUCAGAGGAAGGAACGUGUGGGGUUUCUGAGGUGGAGUGGUUCUGGAAAUGAGGUGUAAGUGUGCGACCACGGAAUGGAUUAGUCCGGCGGAGCGGCGGUGUUGGCACUGGGGAGGUCAAGAAAGCUGCAUUCCGCGCUCCUCUCCCGCGCUUACGACACUGGACCCUGGGACGCCUGGGUGGCUCAGUCAGUGAAGUGGCUGCCUUCGGCUCAGGUAGUGAAUCCAGGGUCUUGGGAUCGAGCCCCACAUCGGGCUCCCUGCUCAGCGGGGAGCCGCUUCUCCCUCUGCCCGCCACUCCCCUGCUUGUGCUCGCUCGCUCUCUGACAAGUUUACUAUAUGGAUAUUCCCCAGAAGACUUCCACUUCCACCUAUGACAGAGGACCCGCUACCUGACUCACCUGCCUGUCUCAACCAUAAAGCUGGCAGAUGUGGGACAAUCUGCAGCACAAAACAGUGGUCCUGGAGAGAAGGGCAACUCACGAGGAAGUCAGCUUGUGAAGGCCUCGGUGCCUGCUUGAGGACAGUACUCUGAUGACCGCAACAUAACGAGCUAGAUUCCAAGCAUGCCACUGUGGUCCGACUCAGCUGAAGAGGCAGAGUUCAGGGCCAUCAGUGGCAGGAAUCUGCCAGGUAGGGCCACAGGGGGAAGGAAGCUGCACAGAGGAGCCUGAGCUUCUCUGGGGAGAAGCCUGUGUGCGGACAGGGUUGAGCUGCUCAUAUUAGUACCAGUGUACCUGAGGAAGACCAGAGAGUACUGACCACAAGGUCGAGAGCCAACAGACCUACCAGAGGUGGAGCCCGGCUGCGGGGGUGAGGCCAGCCCAGCCAGAGUGGAGACCUUGCUGGUACCUCAGUAAUACUCCAGACAUCCAAUCAAGACACCAGAAAGACGCAUCUUAGAAGAAAAGAUCUUACCCUAGAAUAAGAGCUACGAAAAACACCCUUCCGAUGAGGGUAAAACCUAUAGUCCGUCAACGAAACCUGAGAGAAUUGCCAGAAGAUCUGUACUAUAGGAAAUGCUAAUGAACUUGAGGCUGAAGGGAACUGCUAGAUAGAAAUUUGGAUCUACAGGAAGAAAUGAAAAAGUACUGGAAAUGAUAAUUGCCUUAAAAGGCAACUGAAUGUUUACAUCAGAAUAGGAGCAGGUAAAAGGGAUUAUACUACUGUAAAACCGCGUUACUUCUGAAGUGGUGUGAAAUGUCGAGUUGGGAAAACUGCACGUACUCGCUGCUAAUCCCAUCGCCCCGAUCCUGCACACUUACUGGGUUGCUCCUUGGGCAGAAAGGGUCAUGCUCUCGCCCUCUCCUCUCCGCCAGCUGGUGUUCCGUUUUGGACUUCUUCACCAAUCAUCUACUCCUGGAAUACCUCAAACACUUCCAAAACAUGCCACAGAGAUGACUUCUAAACAGCUGCCCUUGAGGAUCUGCCCCCACUUCCGUGUCCACACCGUACUUCCCCCCGGCUGACCUGAGCUAACGACUGGGCAUGCGGGCAUGUUAUGGCUGGCCCACUCCUGCAAGACACAGGACUCCUGUGAUGGGCCUCGUUGAUGGAUGUCUCACCGCUGACCCCGCUGAAACGUCCCUAGAACACCGUAUUGCAACACUGCACUUGCUCGACCCUCUCCCCUCCUCCUUCCCUCUCCUCCACAGGGUGUGAUAAUACACUGUGAUCUCAUGCUUCCCCCACUUCUAUGUUUCCCCCCCCCUUUCCCCUCACAGGCCUUUCUCCCAAUAAAUGUCUUGCACAUGCCUUCUGCUUCUCAGAUGACAUGAACAGACACAAGUAGUACUAAAGAAUGGUCCAUGAAAACAGGUGGUGUGAGGCAGGGAUUUGAAACAGACUCAUUACCCAGCACGAAAGGAGAACAUCAUCCGGAAAGGAAGGUCACUGGUACAAACGAUGUGGUUUACACUGAAAACCUGCUUUUCCUUCUGGAAAUGUGGAUUUGGAAUGUGCUAGGAAGAGGCUGCCUACUCAACCAGUCCCCAAGAAAAACUCUGGGAACUGAGGCUCUAUAAAUGAGUGUCUGUGGUGGACAUUAUCUCAUGUGUGCUGUCACAAACUGCCGCUGAAGGAACUGUGUCCUGUUGAGACCACACUAGGAGAGGUUUCUUAGGAACCUGUGCCUGGUUUCCCUCAGGAUUCGCUGCAUGCACUCCAUUCCCCUUGCUGGUUUUCUUUGAAUUCUCUUGUAAUAAAUUGUGAGUAUGACUCUGUGAGUUCUCUAAAUCCUCCCAGUCAAUCCGUGGACUUAAGGUGAUCCUGGGGACCCCUAACACAGGAUCAAAUCCACACUGGGACUGUAGUCUGACAGCUGUCCCCAAUUCCUCUGGCUCGUGCCCCUUUCUCCCUCACAGGUGUUUCCCCAAAUAAAUCUCUAGCUCACCUAAAUCUCAUUUUAGCAUUUGCUUCUGGGAUGACCUAAAUCUAAUGUGCCAAUAAAUAUUACUGAAUAUUCUCCUAACACCUUAUAACAACUGAAACUACAUUCUCUAUCUUGCCAAAGAAAUCCCCAUCAACUCAGUCACUCAAAUAGAAAAUCAUUCUCACUUCCUCCAGGUUUACUCACGAUUAUUACCCCACAUGCUCCAUUCUGAACCCCUUCAUCUUUAGACUACUAAGUAAGACCUCCCGUUGGCUCCCAUUUCUAGUUUAAAGCCCUUUGCUGACCGCUUACUGCUUACAGAUAAGAAAUGGGUGCCUUUGGUCCCGAAUCUACAGCCAGCACACCCAGCCAGACCCUCUCUCUCCUUCUACGACAUAACUCCAGUCACAUCUAACUCCCAGCCCACUUCUGAUCAUCACUCCUUGGUAUUUUAUAUUCUUGCUGUCUCAAAUACCCUUUCUAUUAUUUAUAAGCAACACGAAUUUCUAUUUGUGCUUUGAAAUACAGCUCAAACACAGUA
Mustela lutreola (European mink) is the source of this 5201-nucleotide long non-coding RNA. RefSeq lists it as uncharacterized. Lineage: Eukaryota; Metazoa; Chordata; Mammalia; Carnivora; Mustelidae. The record is from RefSeq and is a predicted model, not a curated record. The transcript has 4 exons.